RNAcentral lists this ribosomal RNA (253 nucleotides) under uncultured bacterium. Its description in RNAcentral is "partial 16S ribosomal RNA". It matches the Rfam family "Bacterial small subunit ribosomal RNA", at positions 524 to 776 of the family's 1533-position model. The record is from RNAcentral.
UACGGAGGGUGCAAGCGUUAUCCGGAUUCACUGGGUUUAAAGGGUGCGUAGGUGGGUUGGUAAGUCAGUGGUGAAAUCUCCGAGCUUAACUUGGAAACUGCCAUUGAUACUAUCAGUCUUGAAUACCGUGGAGGUCAGCGGAAUAUGUCAUGUAGCGGUGAAAUGCUUAGAUAUGACACAGAACACCGAUUGCGAAGGCAGCUCACAAAACUGUAACUGACGCUGAGGCACGAAAGCGUGGGUAUCAAACAGG